RNAcentral lists this ribosomal RNA (253 nucleotides) under uncultured bacterium. Its description in RNAcentral is "partial 16S ribosomal RNA". It matches the Rfam family "Bacterial small subunit ribosomal RNA", at positions 524 to 776 of the family's 1533-position model. The record is from RNAcentral.
UACGUAGGGUGCGAGCGUUGUCCGGAAUUAUUGGGCGUAAAGAGCUUGUAGGCGGUCUGUCGCGUCUGCUGUGAAAAUCCGGGGCUCAACCCCGGACUUGCAGUGGGUACGGGCAGACUAGAGUGUGGUAGGGGAGACUGGAAUUCCUGGUGUAGCGGUGAAAUGCGCAGAUAUCAGGAGGAACACCGGUGGCGAGGGCGGGUCUCUGGGCCGUAACUGACGCUGAGGAGCGAAAGCGUGGGGAGCGAACAGG